This 377-nucleotide ribosomal RNA is filed under the name uncultured eukaryote. RNAcentral describes it as "partial 18S ribosomal RNA". It matches the Rfam family "Eukaryotic small subunit ribosomal RNA", at positions 592 to 976 of the family's 1831-position model. The record is from RNAcentral.
CAAUAGCGCAUAUUUAAGUUGCUGCAGUUAAAAAGCUCGUAGUUGGAUUUCGGGUGGGAAUGGCCGGUCCGCCGUUUCGGUGUGCACUUGCUACGCCCACCUUGCUGCCGGGGACGUGCUCUUGAGUUCACGCUCGGGACACGGAGUCGGCGAGGUUACUUUGAGUAAAUUAGAGUGUUCAAAGCAGGCCUACGCUCUGAAUACAUUAGCAUGGAAUAACACGAUAGGACUCUGGCCUAUCUUGUUGGUCUGUAGGACCGGAGUAAUGAUUAAGAGGGACAGUCGGGGGCAUUCGUAUUUCAUUGUCAGAGGUGAAAUUCUUGGAUUUAUGAAAGACGGACUACUGCGAAAGCAUUUGCCAAGGAUGUUUUCAUUAA